This 350-nucleotide ribosomal RNA is filed under the name uncultured Anaerolineaceae bacterium. Its description in RNAcentral is "bacterial SSU rRNA". It matches the Rfam family "Bacterial small subunit ribosomal RNA", at positions 1013 to 1382 of the family's 1533-position model. Lineage: Bacteria; Bacillati; Chloroflexota; Anaerolineae; Anaerolineales; Anaerolineaceae. The record is from RNAcentral.
GACCUUCGGGAGCCUAUACAGGUGUUGCAUGGCUGUCGUCAGCUCGUGUCGUGAGAUGUUCGGUUAAGUCCGCUAACGAGCGCAACCCUCGUCGUAUGUUAUAUGUGUCAUACGAGACUGCCGGUAAAAGCCGGAGGAAGGUGAGGAUGAUGUCAAGUCAGCAUGACCUUUAUAUCCAGGGCUACACACACGCUACAAUGGUCUGUACAAUGGGUAGCCAAGCCGCGAGGCGGAGCCAAUCCUGAAAGCAGGCCUCAGUUCAGAUUGCAGUCUGCAACUCGACUGCAUGAAGCCGGAGUUGCUAGUAACCGCAGGUCAGCAAUACUGCGGUGAAUACGUUCCCGGGUCUU